This 450-nucleotide ribosomal RNA is filed under the name uncultured bacterium. RNAcentral describes it as "partial 16S ribosomal RNA". It matches the Rfam family "Bacterial small subunit ribosomal RNA", at positions 328 to 794 of the family's 1533-position model. The record is from RNAcentral.
AGCCCAGACUCCUACGGGAGGCAGCAGUGGGGGAUAUUGCACAAUGGGGGGAACCCUGAUGCAGCGACGCCGCGUGGGUGAAGGAGUAUUUCGGUAUGUAAAGCCCUAUCGGCAGGGAAGAAGCAAGACGGUACCUGACUAAGAAGCACCGGCUAAAUACGUGCCAGCAGCCGCGGUAAUACGUAUGGUGCAAGCGUUAUCCGGAUUUACUGGGUGUAAAGGGAGCGCAGGCGGCGCGUUAAGCCUGGUGUGAAAGCCCGCGGCCCAACCCCGGGACUGCAUUUGGAACUGUGCUGCUAGAGUGUCGGAGAGGCAGGCGGAAUUCCUAGUGUAGCGGUGAAAUGCGUAGAUAUUAGGAGGAACACCAGUGGCGAAGGCGGCCUGCUGGACGAUGACUGACGUUGAGGCUCGAAAGCGUGGGGAGCAAACAGGAUUAGAUACCCCCGUAUC